RNAcentral lists this long non-coding RNA (1041 nucleotides) under Oryctolagus cuniculus (rabbit). Its description in RNAcentral is "lncRNA (ENSOCUG00000031487.1)". The record is from RNAcentral. Lineage: Eukaryota; Metazoa; Chordata; Mammalia; Lagomorpha; Leporidae.
AUGGCUGCCACAGCCCCCAUUCCUCCACCUGGCGUUAGCCAUACUAAACAAAGUAUGGAUGGGAAGUUCUGUACCCGCUUUUGCUCCAAAGCUGGCGAAUCAGGAGAACCUAGAUAUACUGUGGGCCUGGGGCAGCCGGAAGUCAAGAGAAGGGCAGCAGUGAGUUUCUGUGUUUGGAGACCCCGGGGGAGGCAGCAGGCGAGGGCCCCCGCAGAUGACCAGAGUCGGUCAAGCAGCCUAUCACGAGGGAAUAAACAGCACAGCAGACAUCUGAGCAUUCAAGAGAAAAGGAAAAUCCCAGGUGCCAGAGACAAACACGAAGUGAAAACCAGAGACCAGCAAGCAGACAGACUGGUGCCGCGCAGCUUGGGAGUGUGGGGGACCAGGCCUUGCUUAGUCCCUUGCAUCAAGCGUCUUGAGCUGUGGCAGCAUUCAGGAACAGAAAAUGAGGCAUGGUCUCCCAGGUGCGGAGAGAGGACUGAGCUCCUGCCAAAGAGCCUGGGCCGGUGGAUGGACAGCCCAGCAGAAGGAAGCGGGAGCAGGCGGAAGAGCCAGGGAAAGAUGGCACAUGGCGCGCGGUGCCAGGUUAUUGUUGCGGUGAUUUCCCCAGCAGGGGAAUUGGAGAGUUUAGCAGCAAAGCUGAAGACAGAAUCCCAUUGUGACCCACAGCUGUUGGCUGUACAGCCCAGGACCAACUCGAGAGUGCCCCCCACCCCUGAGACGGAGCUGUGCUCCCCAAGGUUUCCCCUCAGAGCCCCUAAGGCUGAAGAGCAAGAGUAUCUAUUGCUAGGGGGGCUCAGUGGGGUGGUCCAAGCUGGUCACGGAGCCCCGAGCUUCUUAAAAGCCUCAGGUUUCCUUCCCACGUGCACAGGACCAUGUAGUGUAACCCAGAGCACACGACACAAGCUCAGGGCGUGCGGUGGUCCAGGACCACAGCUCCCUCUCCUGCCGCAAGGUCAGGGGCCGCGGCUGGAGAGGCACAGCACAGGGGGGCGCUGGCAGAGGCGGGACAGAGAGGCCGGACCAGGAGUCAUCCUGUGA